RNAcentral lists this ribosomal RNA (253 nucleotides) under uncultured bacterium. RNAcentral's name for it is "partial 16S ribosomal RNA". It matches the Rfam family "Bacterial small subunit ribosomal RNA", at positions 524 to 776 of the family's 1533-position model. The record is from RNAcentral.
UACGUAGGGUGCAAGCGUUAAUCGGAAUUACUGGGCGUAAAGCGUGCGCAGGCGGUUUUGUAAGUCAGAUGUGAAAUCCCCGGGCUUAACCUGGGAACUGCGUUUGAAACUACAAGGCUAGAGUGUGGCAGAGGGGGGUGGAAUUCCACGUGUAGCAGUGAAAUGCGUAGAUAUGCGGAGGAACACCGAUGGCGAAGGCAAUCCCCUGGACCUGUACUGACGCUCAUGCACGAAAGCGUGGGGAGCAAACAGG